RNAcentral lists this ribosomal RNA (395 nucleotides) under uncultured bacterium. RNAcentral's name for it is "bacterial SSU rRNA". It matches the Rfam family "Bacterial small subunit ribosomal RNA", at positions 505 to 898 of the family's 1533-position model. The record is from RNAcentral.
GUGCCAGCAGCCGCGGUAAUACGUAGGGGGCAAGCGUUGUCCGGAAUUAUUGGGCGUAAAGCGCGUGUAGGCGGUCCGGUAAGUCGGUUGUGAAAGUCCAGGGCUCAACCCUGGGAUGCCGACCGAUACUGUCGGACUAGAGUUCGGAAGAGGCGAGUGGAAUUCCCGGUGUAGCGGUGAAAUGCGCAGAUAUCGGGAGGAACACCAAUGGCGAAGGCAGCUCGCUGGGACGUUACUGACGCUGAGACGCGAAAGCGUGGGGAGCAAACAGGAUUAGAUACCCUGGUAGUCCACGCCGUAAACGAUGGGCACUAGGUGUGGCGGGUGUCGACUCCCGCCGUGCCGCAGCUAACGCAUUAAGUGCCCCGCCUGGGGAGUACGGCCGCAAGGCUAAA